UACAGAGGGGGCAAGCGUUGUUCGGAAUUACUGGGCGUAAAGGGCGCGUAGGCGGCCUUCUAAAUCGAACGUGAAAUCCCCGGGCUCAACCCGGGAACUGCGUCCGAUACUGGAAGGCUUGAAUCCGGGAGAGGGAUGCGGAAUUCCAGGUGUAGCGGUGAAAUGCGUAGAUAUCUGGAGGAACACCGGUGGCGAAGGCGGCAUCCUGGACCGGCAUUGACGCUGAGGCGCGAAAGCCAGGGGAGCAAACGGG
This 253-nucleotide ribosomal RNA is filed under the name uncultured bacterium. RNAcentral's name for it is "partial 16S ribosomal RNA". It matches the Rfam family "Bacterial small subunit ribosomal RNA", at positions 524 to 776 of the family's 1533-position model. The record is from RNAcentral.